GAUGAACGCUAGCGACAGGCCUAACACAUGCAAGUCGAGGGGCAGCACGGUGUAGCAAUACACGGGUGGCGACCGGCGCACGGGUGAGUAACGCGUAUGCAACCUGCCUACUACAAGGGGAUAACCCGUUGAAAGACGGACUAAUACCCUAUAACACAGGGAAUCCGCAUGGAUAUAUUUGUUAAAGAUUUAUCGGUAGUAGAUGGGCAUGCGUUCCAUUAGCUUGUUGGUGAGGUAACGGCUCACCAAGGCAACGAUGGAUAGGGGAACUGAGAGGUUGAUCCCCCACACUGGAACUGAGACACGGUCCAGACUCCUACGGGAGGCAGCAGUGAGGAAUAUUGGUCAAUGGACGAGAGUCUGAACCAGCCAAGUCGCGUGAAGGAAGACGGCCCUACGGGUUGUAAACUUCUUUUGUAAGGGAAUAAAUAGUCUUACGAGCUAAGACGUUGCAGGUACCUUACGAAUAAGGAUCGGCUAACUCCGUGCCAGCAGCCGCGGUAAUACGGAGGAUCCGAGCGUUAUCCGGAUUUAUUGGGUUUAAAGGGUGCGCAGGCGGCAUGUUAAGUCGGCGGUGAAAUUUUGCAGCUCAACUGUAAAAGAGCCUUCGAAACUGGCAAGCUUGAGUGUGGAUGAAGUAGGCGGAAUUUGUGGUGUAGCGGUGAAAUGCAUAGAUAUCACAAAGAACACCGAUUGCGCAGGCAGCUUACUAAACCAUAACUGACGCUCAUGCACGAAGGCGUGGGGAUCAAACAGGAUUAGAUACCCUGGUAGUCCACGCGGUAAACGAUGAUUGCUAGGUGUAGGGUGGGUAUGGACCCAUCGGUGCCGCAGCUAACGCAAUAAGCAAUCCACCUGGGGAGUACGUUCGCAAGAAUGAAACUCAAAGGAAUUGACGGGGACCCGCACAAGCGGUGGAGCAUGUGGUUUAAUUCGAAGCAACGCGAAGAACCUUACCAAGUCUUGACAUCCCCCUGACGGGCCGGUAACGCGGCCUUUCCUUCGGGACAGGGGAGACAGGUGGUGCAUGGUUGUCGUCAGCUCGUGUCGUGAGAUGUUGGGUUAAGUCCCGCAACGAGCGCAACCCUUAUCCUUAGUAGCCAGCACGUGAAGGUGGGCACUCUAGGGAGACUGCCAGGGAUAACCUGGAGGAAGGUGGGGAUGACGUCAAAUCAUCAUGCCCCUUAUGAUUUGGGCUACACACGUGCUACAAUGGCGUAAACAAAGGGAAGCGAGACAGUGAUGUGGAGCAAAUCCCAAAAAUAACGUCCCAGUUCGGACUGUAGUCUGCAACCCGACUACACGAAGCUGGAAUCGCUAGUAAUCGCGAAUCAGAAUGUCGCGGUGAAUACGUUCCCGGGUCUUGUACACACCGCCCGUCACACCAUGGGAGUCAGCAACGCCCGAAGUCAGUGACCCAACCGAAAGGAGGGAGCUGCCGAAGGCAGGUCUAAUAACUGGGGUG
RNAcentral lists this ribosomal RNA (1465 nucleotides) under uncultured bacterium. Its description in RNAcentral is "partial 16S ribosomal RNA". It matches the Rfam family "Bacterial small subunit ribosomal RNA". The record is from RNAcentral.